UACGGAGGGGGCUAGCGUUGCUCGGAAUUACUGGGCGUAAAGCGCACGUAGGCGGCUCUUUAAGUCGGAGGUGAAAUCCUGGAGCUCAACUCCAGAACUGCCUUUGAUACUGAAGAGCUCGAGUCCGGGAGAGGUGAGUGGAACUGCGAGUGUAGAGGUGAAAUUCGUAGAUAUUCGCAAGAACACCAGUGGCGAAGGCGGCUCACUGGCCCGGUACUGACGCUGAGGUGCGAAAGCGUGGGGAGCAAACAGG
RNAcentral lists this ribosomal RNA (253 nucleotides) under uncultured bacterium. RNAcentral's name for it is "partial 16S ribosomal RNA". It matches the Rfam family "Bacterial small subunit ribosomal RNA", at positions 524 to 776 of the family's 1533-position model. The record is from RNAcentral.